GCACCGGCAGGUAGGGCGGCUCCAGCGCGCGCGGCGGCCCGUACGCCUCGGGCGGCGGGUUGGCGUAGGGCGGGUACCAGCCCAGGCGUGGGUCUCCGCCAUGGGCCUGCGCCGCCUCGGGACCGGGGUCAGGGUGCCACGGCUUACCAAUGGAAGAUUAGGCCAGAUGGCUCCUGAGAGUGCUUUGGGAGAUUCUCUGUUCCUUCUGGGAAUGGCAGGGAUAGGAGGGGGUCCCAGAAGUUUGAACGCUUUGGCAUCCAAGAAAUCACACUCCAAAUACUGCUCUUCUGGCCUCCCCUGGGCUGCCUUCUCCAACCGUGUUCCUGGGAACCGAAGGGCAGAAAUUGCCCUCUUGGGCUUAUAAACAAGGAGCUCCUGCCUGCCUGGAUGAAGAGGAGGUCAAGACUUUGUCCCCCACUCCGCAAGAUACCCUCUCUGUUCCGGAGCGGUGAGACAGGAUUUCACCAUGUUAGCCAGGAUGGUCUUGAUCUCCUGACCUCAUGAUCUGCCCACCUCGGCCUCCCAAAGUGCUGGGCUUACAGGCGUGAGCCACCGUGCCCGGCCAAAAAUAACUUUUAAAAACAUGAGUAUAGCAUACACACACACAAAAGUCCACAAAUCCUAGGUGUACCACUUGAUGAAUGAUCCCAACGUGAGCACACCUCUGGAUUACCACCUGGAUCAAGAAAUAGGACAUCACAGCAGCUGGCAGCUUCCAAGGAGAAGCUCUGGAAAGUUCUGCCUGUCUCAGCACCUGGCUGGAUCGGAAACGAGUUUUCUUUAACCAGAUUUUUAAUGACUGACUUAUGUGGACAAAUCAUAACUGAAUGAAUCACCUCCUUUGUUGAUUUUUUUGGGUACUUUAUUUGCUAUUAUAAAUGAUGCUGUAAUAAGCACCCUUGAAGAAAUCUUCAUAUCUGCCUCUCCUGUGUAGCAGGUCACAGUGCCUGGGUUUGGUUCUAGCCCUCAUUUGUGAACUGUGUGACUCACCAUGCCUUUUUUCUUUCUGUAAGACAGGAAUAAUGGUAAGAAUUUAAAUGGGGGUAAUAUGGAGCGCGUUUAGUUCAGAGCCUGGUGCAUACAAGCACUCAAUAAGUACUGGCGAUUAUUAGACCUUUAGAUUAAUUUAUUAGAAGUUGGAUUUCUGGUGAAAGGGUUUGAGUGUUUUUGAGGCUUUGGCACAGAAUACCCAGCUGGUCCCAGAAAGGUGGUUCCCAUUUACCUGCCCGAAGGUAAUUCACCCUUACUGAUACUGAGUACUGUUUUCUAAAAGAACAUUAAAAAUUGGAUAGGUUAAAAACAGGUGAAUACAUUUUUUUAGUUGCAUUUUUUUGGUUACCCGUGAGAGUGAACAUGUUGCCAUGUGUUUGCUGACCUCCUAAAUGGUCUAUUUGCUCCUACCUUUGUACCCCAAAAGUCUGCUCUCAAGAUGGUAGCCAGAAUGAUCCUUUUUGAGACAUAAGUCAAAAUUUCACUCUUCUCCUUAAAGCUCUGCAAUGGUUCUCAGGUUAAAAGCCAAAGUCCUGUUCAAGGCCUCCAGGGUCCUCACCACUUGGUCCCUUGCUCUUUCUGUUCUAGCCAACUUGGCCUUCUCCUGCCCCUCCGCCGCACCAUGGCAAUUUCCCCUGCUCUGUGUGGUCAACUACCUGAAUCUGUUCAAAGCUUUGCUCAAAUGUCUCCUUCCUGAUGAGACCUCCCCAGCCCCUGAGCUCCCCAUGCCUCACUCCUGAUCGCCUUACUUAACCCUUCUUUUUCUUUUUUGCCAGUAGUACUUAUCACCGUCUAAAAUACUUCAUAAUUUACUUGUUUAUUGUUUGCCCCUCUCCAAUAGAAUGUAAGCUCCUUGGGGCAGGGACCUUUGUCCUUUGUCUUGUUCACUGCUGUGUCCCAUGUGUAAACUUGUCUGGCACAGAAGAGGUGCUCGAUAAAUAUUUGUUGAGUGAAUGAAUGGUAAAUUUUCUGUUCAUAUUCUUUGACUAUUUUCUAUUGUAAUGUUCAUCUUUUUAGUAUUGGUUUAUAAGAUGUAUAUUUAGCACCUUUUCAUAUAUCACUCUUUGUCACAUAUUAUGCAACUAAUUUGUCAUUUCCAUCAAUUUUUAAAAUACUUUCUUGAUGCUUCAUUUUUAAGCUGUCAGAUUAUUAAUCUUUUCUUUAUGGUCUUGGACUUUAUUGUUGCAUAACCGCUGCCUUCACCAGGAACAUAUAAAUUUUCAAUUAAAUGUUCUUCUGAGAUUUUAUGAUUUCACUUUUUAUAUUAAACUCUUCAUUUUGUCUUCAUGUGUGGUGAGAGGUAAGAACAUAACUUUAAAGCAAAUUAACCAACUAUCCCCAAAUGAAUUAUAAAUAAAUUAAUCAUUUUCCAAU
Molecule: long non-coding RNA, 2364 nt
Filed under: Homo sapiens (human)
Lineage: Eukaryota; Metazoa; Chordata; Mammalia; Primates; Hominidae
Description: non-protein coding LOXL1-AS1:12
Source: RNAcentral